GGAGCGACUCGCUAGCUCAGCAGGUAGAGCACCUGACUUUUAAUCAGGGGGUCGCGGGUUCGAACCCCGUCUUCCGCUCCA
RNAcentral lists this transfer RNA (81 nucleotides) under Mesotoga sp. Its description in RNAcentral is "tRNA-Lys". The stretch from base 13 to 70 matches the Rfam family "tRNA", at positions 8 to 63 of the family's 71-position model. Rfam says of the family: Transfer RNA (tRNA) molecules are approximately 80 nucleotides in length. The record is from RNAcentral. Lineage: Bacteria; Thermotogati; Thermotogota; Thermotogae; Kosmotogales; Kosmotogaceae.